Small nucleolar RNA from Aureobasidium namibiae CBS 147.97, 84 nucleotides. It matches the Rfam family "A. fumigatus snoRNA Afu_294". The record is from Rfam. NCBI's taxonomy places the organism in Eukaryota, Fungi, Ascomycota, Dothideomycetes, Dothideales, Saccotheciaceae.
CAUAAUGAUGAACAAAAAUGAUAUUUCGCUGUGUUCUUACUGAGACACGUCUUUGAAGAUACCAUCACCUUGGAGAACUGACCU